This 1756-nucleotide ribosomal RNA is filed under the name Durio zibethinus. RNAcentral describes it as "SSU rRNA". It matches the Rfam family "Eukaryotic small subunit ribosomal RNA". Lineage: Eukaryota; Viridiplantae; Streptophyta; Magnoliopsida; Malvales; Malvaceae. The record is from RNAcentral.
CCUGGUUGAUCCAGCCAGUAGUCAUAUGCUUGUCUCAAAGAUUAAGCCAUGCAUAUGUAAGUAUGAACUAAUUCAGAUUGUGAAAUUGUGAAUGGCUUAUUAAAUCAAUUAUGGUUUAUUUGAUGGUAUAUAUUACUCGGAUAACUGUAGCAAUUCUAAAGCUAAUAAGUGCAAUAAACUCUGACUUCUAAAAAGGAUGCAUUUAUUAGAUAAAAGGUCAACACGGGCUUUGCCUAUUACUUUGAUGAUUCAUAAAAACUCAAAGGAUCGCACAGCUUUUGUAUUAGUGAUGCAUCAUUCAAAUUCCAGCCCUAUCAACUUUCGAUGUUAAGAUAAUGGCCUAUUAUAAUGGUGACAGAUGAUAGAGAAUUAGGGUUCAAUUUCAAAGAAGAAGAUUGAAAAACGGCUACCACAUCCAAGAAAGGCAGUAGGCACGUAAAUUAUCCAAUCCUGACAUAAAAAGAUAGUGACAAUAAAUAACAAUAUCGGGCUCUAUGAGUAUAGUAAUUGGAAUGAGUACAAUCUAAAACCAUUAACGAAGAUCUAUUGGAGGGUAAGUCUGGUGCCAACAGCUGCAGUAAUUCUAGCUCGAAUAGUAUAUAUUUAAGCUAUUACAGUUAAAAAGCUUGUAGUUAGAGCUAGGGUUGGGUCAUUUAGUCCGUCUCAUAGUAAGCACUGGUCUACUCAUCCUUACUGUCAUUAAUUUGCUCCUAGCUUUAACUGAUCGGGUUGUUCCUCCAAUGUUGUUACUUUAAAGAAAUUAUAGUGCUCAAAGCUAGCUUACGCUUGUAUAUAUGAGCUUUGGAUAACAUAAUAGAAUUUUAGUCAUUUUGUAUUGGCCUUCAGGAUCAUAGUAAUGAUUAACAAGAAUAGUCAAGGGCAUUCAUAUUUCAUAGUUAGAUGUGAAAUUUUUGGAUUUAUAAAAGCUGAACAACUAUGAAAGCAUUUGUCAAUGAUGUUUUCAUUAAUCAAGAAUGAAAGUUAGGGGCUCGAAAACAAUUAGAUGUUGUUCUAGUCUCAACCAUAAAUGAUGUCGAUUGAGGAUCGAUGGAUGUUACUUUUAGCAUUUCAUCGGCACCUUAUGAGAAAUCAAAGUCUUUAGGUUCUAGGGGGAAUAUGGUCACAAGGUUGAAACUUAAAGAAAUUGAUAGAAAGGCACCACCAGAAGUGAAGCUUGUGGUUUAAUUUGACUCAACACAAAAAAACUUAUCAUGUCCACACAUAGUAAGGAUUGAUAAAUUGAGAGCUCUUUUUUCAUUCUAUGGGUGGUGGUACAUGGCUGUUAUUAGUUGGUAAAGCAAUUUAUCUAGUUAAUUCUAUUAACGAACAAGACCUCAACCUGCUACCUAGCUACACGGAGGUGAUCCUUCAUGGCUAGCUUCUUAAAGGGACUAUGGUCACUUAACGCAAGAAAGUUUAAGGUAAUAAUAGGUCUUUGAUGCCCGUAGAUGUUCUAGGUCACACAUGCACUGUACUGAUGCAUUUAACAAGUCUAUAGCCUUGGCUAACAAGCUCAGAUAAUCUUUAAAAUUUCAUCAUGAUGGAAAUAGAUCAUUGUAAUUAUUGGUCUUCAAUGAGGAAUUCCUAUUAAGCAUGAGUCAUCAGCUCACGUUGACUACGUCUCUUUAUCACAGGUUGAGACUAAAGUUCUAGGCUCACGUAACUCUUGGACACAGGAAUGGAUUCUUUCAUAUUUCAGAUCAGCCUAACACAAAAAUGGUGCAUGAAUACUCUAGACUUCGAGGCUUGGCCACCC